This 254-nucleotide ribosomal RNA is filed under the name uncultured bacterium. RNAcentral describes it as "partial 16S ribosomal RNA". It matches the Rfam family "Bacterial small subunit ribosomal RNA", at positions 524 to 776 of the family's 1533-position model. The record is from RNAcentral.
UACGUAGGGUGCAAGCGUUGUCCGGAAUUAUUGGGCGUAAAGAGCUCGUAGGUGGUCUGUUGCGUCGGCUGUGAAAACCCGGGGCUCAACCGUGUGGUCUGCAGUCGAUACGGGCAGGCUAGAGUUCGGUAGGGGAGACUGGAAUUCCUGGUGUAGCGGUGAAAUGCGCAGAUAUCAGGAGGAACACCGGUGGCGAAGGCGGGUCUCUGGGCCGAUACUGACGCUGAGGAGCGAAAGCGUGGGGAGCGAACAGG